UAAAAAAAGGUAAGCUACUAAGAGCGAAUGGUGGAUGCCUUGACUGGUAAAGGCGAUGAAGGACGUACUAGACUGCGAUAAGCUACGGGGAGCUGUCAAGAAGCUUUGAUCCGUAGAUUUCCGAAUGGGGCAACCCAAUGUAUAGAGAUAUACAUUACCUAUAUAGGAGCGAACGAGGGGAAUUGAAACAUCUUAGUACCCUCAGGAAAAGAAAUCAAUAGAGAUUGCGUCAGUAGCGGCGAGCGAAAGCGCAAGAGGGCAAACCCAGUGCUUGCACUGGGGGUUGUAGGACUGCAAUGUGCAAGAGCUGAGUUUAGCAGAACAUUCUGGAAAGUAUAGCCAUAGAGGGUGAUAGUCCCGUAUGCGAAAAACAAAGCUUAGCUAGCAGUAUCCUGAGUAGGGCGGGACACGAGGAAUCCUGUCUGAAUCCGGGUCGACCACGAUCCAACCCUAAAUACUAAUACCAGAUCGAUAGUGCACAAGUACCGUGAGGGAAAGGUGAAAAGAACUGAGGUGAUCAGAGUGAAAUAGAACCUGAAACCAUUUGCUUACAAUCAUUCAGAGCACUAUGUAGCAAUACAGUGUGAUGGACUGCCUUUUGCAUAAUGAGCCUGCGAGUUGUGGUGUCUGGCAAGGUUAAGCAAACGCGAAGCCGUAGCGAAAGCGAGUCUGAAUAGGGCGCUUAGUCAGAUGCUGCAGACCCGAAACGAAGUGAUCUAUCCAUGAGCAAGUUGAAGCUAGUGUAAGAACUAGUGGAGGACUGAACCCAUAGGCGUUGAAAAGCCCCGGGAUGACUUGUGGAUAGGGGUGAAAGGCCAAUCAAACUUCGUGAUAGCUGGUUCUCUCCGAAAUAUAUUUAGGUAUAGCGUUGUGUCGUAAUAUAAGGGGGUAGAGCACUGAAUGGGCUAGGGCAUACACCAAUGUACCAAACCCUAUCAAACUCCGAAUACCUUAUAUGUAAUCACAGCAGUCAGGCGGCGAGUGAUAAAAUCCGUCGUCAAGAGGGAAACAACCCAGACUACC
RNAcentral lists this ribosomal RNA (1023 nucleotides) under Campylobacter jejuni. RNAcentral describes it as "partial 23S ribosomal RNA". It matches the Rfam family "Bacterial large subunit ribosomal RNA", at positions 1 to 1036 of the family's 2925-position model. The record is from RNAcentral. Lineage: Bacteria; Pseudomonadati; Campylobacterota; Epsilonproteobacteria; Campylobacterales; Campylobacteraceae.